GGAAUUACUGGGCGUAAAGCGAGCGUAGGUGGCUUGAUAAGUCAGAUGUGAAAGCCCCCGGGCUUAACCUGGGAACGGCAUCUGAUACUGUUAGGCUAGAGUAGGUGAGAGGAAGGUAGAAUUCCAGGUGUAGCGGUGAAAUGCGUAGAGAUCUGGAGGAAUACCGAUGGCGAAGGCAGCCUUCUGGCAUCAUACUGACACUGAGGUUCGAAAGCGUGGGUAGCAAACAGGAUUAGAUACCCUGGUAGUCCACGCCGUAAACGAUGUCUACUAGUCGUUGGGUCCCUUGAGGACUUAGUGACGCAGCUAACGCAAUAAGUAGACCGCCUGGGGAGUACGGCCGCAAGGUUAAAACUCAAAUGAAUUGACGGGGGCCCGCACNAGCGGUGGAGCAUGUGGUUUAAUUCGAUGCAACGCGAAGAACCUUACCUGGUCUUGACAUAUCUAGAAUCCUGCAGAGAUGCGGGAGUGCCUUCGGGAAUUAGAAUACAGGUGCUGCAUGGCNGUCGUCAGCUCGUGUCGUGAGAUGUUGGGUUAAGUCCCGCAACGAGCGCAACCCUUGUCCUUAGUUACCAGCGGUUUGGCCGGGAACUCUAAGGAUACUNCCAGUGACAAACUGGAGGAAGGCGGGGACGACGUCAAGUCAUCAUGGCCCUUACGACCAGGGCUACACACGUGCUACAAUGGUAGG
Molecule: ribosomal RNA, 691 nt
Filed under: Psychrobacter sp.
Lineage: Bacteria; Pseudomonadati; Pseudomonadota; Gammaproteobacteria; Moraxellales; Moraxellaceae
Description: bacterial SSU rRNA
Rfam family: Bacterial small subunit ribosomal RNA
Source: RNAcentral